CUCGAUGAGUAGGGCGGGACACGUGGUAUCCUGUCUGAAUAUGGGGGGACCAUCCUCCAAGGCUAAAUACUCCUGACUGACCGAUAGUGAACCAGUACCGUGAGGGAAAGGCGAAAAGAACCCCGGCGAGGGGAGUGAAAAAGAACCUGAAACCGUGUACGUACAAGCAGUGGGAGCACCCUUUGGGUGUGACUGCGUACCUUUUGUAUAAUGGGUCAGCGACUUAUAUUCUGUAGCAAGGUUAACCGAAUAGGGGAGCCGGAGGGAAACCGAGUCUUAACCGGGCGUUAAGUUGCAGGGUAUAGACCCGAAACCCGGUGAUCUAGCCAUGGGCAGGUUGAAGGUUGGGUAACACUAACUGGAGGACCGAACCGACUAAUGUUGAAAAAUUAGCGGAUGACCUGUGGCUGGGGGUGAAAGGCCAAUCAAACCGGGAGAUAGCUGGUUCUCCCCGAAAGCUAUUUAGGUAGCGCCUCGUGAAUUCAUCUCCGGGGGUAGAGCACUGUUUCGGCUAGGGGGCCAUCCCGGCUUACCAACCCGAUGCAAACUGCGAAUACCGGAGAAUGUUAUCACGGGAGACACACGGCGGGUGCUAACGUCCGUCGUGAAGAGGGAAACAACCCAGACCGCCAGCUAAGGUCCCAAAGUCAUGGUUAAGUGGGAAACGAUGUGGGAAGGCCCAGACAGCCAGGAUGUUGGCUUAGAAGCAGCCAUCAUUUAAAGAAAGCGUAAUAGCUCACUGGUCGAGUCGGCCUGCGCGGAAGAUGUAACGGGGCUAAACCAUGCACCGAAGCUGCGGCAGCGACACUGUGUGUUGUUGGGUAGGGGAGCGUUCUGUAAGCCUGUGAAGGUGUGUCGUGAGGC
Molecule: ribosomal RNA, 864 nt
Filed under: Salmonella enterica
Lineage: Bacteria; Pseudomonadati; Pseudomonadota; Gammaproteobacteria; Enterobacterales; Enterobacteriaceae
Description: partial 23S ribosomal RNA
Rfam family: Bacterial large subunit ribosomal RNA
Source: RNAcentral